This 236-nucleotide ribosomal RNA is filed under the name uncultured bacterium. RNAcentral describes it as "partial 16S ribosomal RNA". It matches the Rfam family "Bacterial small subunit ribosomal RNA", at positions 332 to 585 of the family's 1533-position model. The record is from RNAcentral.
UUGGCCCUACGGGAGGCAGCAGUGGGGAAUAUUGGGCAAUGGGCGCAAGCCUGACCCAGCAACGCCGCGUGAAGGAUGAAGGUUUUCGGAUUGUAAACUUCUGUCGCGAGGGACGAAGAAUGACGGUACCUCGUAAGACAGCCCCGGCUAACUACGUGCCAGCAGCCGCGGUAAUACGUAGGGGGCAAGCGUUGUCCGGGAUGACUGGGCGUAACGGGAGUGUGGGCGGCCUUGUA